RNAcentral lists this long non-coding RNA (1624 nucleotides) under Pan troglodytes (chimpanzee). RNAcentral describes it as "lincRNA". Lineage: Eukaryota; Metazoa; Chordata; Mammalia; Primates; Hominidae. The record is from RNAcentral.
AUGAACUAUAUCUUAAGAAUUCAUAAAGCCCUAAAAAGUAAAUAUUUACAACCAGAAAUCUUUCUGACAAAGAAACAAGAUUACUCAAAGUAAGUAGUAGUUUGGGCUCCCUGGAAAGAACCCAGAACUUAAGUGUCAGGAAAUGUGGAUAGUUCUGAAUGUGCCCCUGGCUGGUUGAUGACUCUGGGCAACUUAUGCAGUACCUCUAACUCAUGGUUUAUUUACCUGAAAAAUAAGUGGGUUGGCUAUGUCUGUGGUUUGAAAGGUGCUCUAUGAUGUCCCAGAUGUCUUAGCAGUGUGUCAUUGGCUGUUUUGGAGGCUGUCAGGGGUCCAGAUGGCUGCUCCCACUGAGCCUGCUUUUAACAGAGCUUUUCAGUUUGUAUUUCUUGUAUACACAAAGUAAUAUUAAAUAAAAAAAAUAUAAUCCAGCUAAGAAAGUUUGAGAAUACUGGCUUGAGAUUCAAAAUAAAAUAAACCAAAAAUUUUAGAAAUUAUAUUAGUCUAGAAAGAUAGUAUUGUGUCUCUUUGUCUUUUUAGUACCUAGCACAUAUCAGGUACUUGAUACAUAUUUAUCAUAUGAAUGCAAUGGUUGUAAUGAACAACUGGGAAGGAAAUGCAAAAGCAGAAGGCACCAUAUUUGUGUUGCUAUUCCUGGGUGUCAUUUCUAUGUAACUUGUGAUAACCAGUAGUAAAGAACAACAUGGACUAUGUUUAAUAGACAACAACUAAUUUUAUUGGAUUUGUGUACAUAAUCUGAAAUUUAGUCUAAGGACAAGCCAUAUUACUAUAAAUUUCAGGAAAUCUAGAGAGAGAAAAUGGGCAAUUUAGAACAGACUGGAAGAGUAACUCUUUCAGUUUGUCUGGAAAACCGAAUCUAAGGAAUAAGUUCAGUUUGCAGUUUCUUUCAAGUAGAAUUGGUGACUCUUGGAUGCAGUUUAUAAACACGUAACACAUUUUCCUUGCAUGGAAAUAUCUAUUCUAUGACCUCUUCUACAUGAAGAAAAGAUUUGAAAUUUUCUUCUCCAUUAAAUAAUGUUUUGUGUGCGUGUUGCAAAAAUAAGAGAGAAGCAAGAAUAACUCUAGCAGAUGCUUAAAGGUUUAAGAUUAAAGACACAUGUAAAUGUGAUUCAUAGUGGGUGUUCUGUGCACUUGAGUGAAUAUUCCCAAAUCACAGCUAGAAAAAUUUAGGAGUAAAUUGACUUAACUUAUGGUAAAUCAAUAGUGGUCCCUGAAUUGGAGGGAAACAGAUGAGCAAGAAAAAAAUUAUUUGACAGGACUCCACUAAGGAAAACAACAUUCAAGUAACAGAUGAGGUAUUGUACUGCCCAGAGGAAUUACCCAGCCUUUAGCAAGGCGAAGUCAGCCUCAACUGGCAGGAGGUUUGUUUUAAAACUGAAAUGAGAAAAAGGAUCUGGGCUUACAAAUGAUGGGAAGAUAUAUUAUCAACAGGGAAAAAAAACCCCCAGAAAAUAGCAACUAACUUGUUUCCCCAGCACAACUGAAAGGAUGAAGAAGGAAAACAAUUUAAUGUACCCUGGUCAUGCAGUUACUUUCCUUUAUCCUUACUAACAGUGCUUGUCAAGAUGGUUCUGGAAACUGAAUAAAUGUAAGUAAUGAAUCAUGA